This 1036-nucleotide ribosomal RNA is filed under the name Krasilnikoviella sp. RNAcentral describes it as "bacterial SSU rRNA". It matches the Rfam family "Bacterial small subunit ribosomal RNA", at positions 56 to 1103 of the family's 1533-position model. Lineage: Bacteria; Bacillati; Actinomycetota; Actinomycetes; Micrococcales; Promicromonosporaceae. The record is from RNAcentral.
UGCAAGUCGAACGGUGAAGUCCCAGCUUGCUGGGAUGGAUCAGUGGCGAACGGGUGAGUAACACGUGAGCAACCUGCCCUCCACUUCGGGAUAAGCCUUGGAAACGGGGUCUAAUACCGGAUAUGAGCCUGCAUCGCAUGGUGUGGGUUGGAAAGUUUUUCGGUGGGGGAUGGGCUCGCGGCCUAUCAGCUUGUUGGUGGGGUGAUGGCCUACCAAGGCGUCGACGGGUAGCCGGCCUGAGAGGGCGACCGGCCACACUGGGACUGAGACACGGCCCAGACUCCUACGGGAGGCAGCAGUGGGGAAUAUUGCACAAUGGGCGCAAGCCUGAUGCAGCGACGCCGCGUGAGGGAUGACGGCCUUCGGGUUGUAAACCUCUUUCAGCAGGGAAGAAGCGCAAGUGACGGUACCUGCAGAAGAAGCGCCGGCUAACUACGUGCCAGCAGCCGCGGUAAUACGUAGGGCGCAAGCGUUGUCCGGAAUUAUUGGGCGUAAAGAGCUCGUAGGCGGUCUGUCGCGUCUGGUGUGAAAUCCCGAGGCUCAACCUCGGGCUUGCAUCGGGUACGGGCAGACUAGAGUGCGGUAGGGGAGACUGGAAUUCCUGGUGUAGCGGUGGAAUGCGCAGAUAUCAGGAGGAACACCGAUGGCGAAGGCAGGUCUCUGGGCCGCAACUGACGCUGAGGAGCGAAAGCAUGGGGAGCGAACAGGAUUAGAUACCCUGGUAGUCCAUGCCGUAAACGUUGGGCACUAGGUGUGGGGCUCAUUCCACGAGUUCCGUGCCGCAGCUAACGCAUUAAGUGCCCCGCCUGGGGAGUACGGCCGCAAGGCUAAAACUCAAAGGAAUUGACGGGGGCCCGCACAAGCGGCGGAGCAUGCGGAUUAAUUCGAUGCAACGCGAAGAACCUUACCAAGGCUUGACAUGUACGAGAAAGCCCCCGAGAUGGGGUUCUCUUUGGACACUCGUACACAGGUGGUGCAUGGUUGUCGUCAGCUCGUGUCGUGAGAUGUUGGGUUAAGUCCCGCAACGAGCGCAACC